Molecule: long non-coding RNA, 1852 nt
Organism: Oreochromis niloticus (Nile tilapia)
Lineage: Eukaryota; Metazoa; Chordata; Actinopteri; Cichliformes; Cichlidae
Source: Ensembl
CUCAGGAAAUGCUUUGUUGUUGUAUGUAAGGCUGAAAGCACGUCAAGAAGUCAGUGAGUGUGUUAGACAGCAAGAACGAUGACAGUGUUUAAGACACGUGGGUGUUUGCUAGCAGCAAUCAGGAUUAUCUUUUUAACUGAGUUUUUGCUGACAGGUGUGAGAGGAGACGGCCCAGAGUCAAAAACAUUAGAUAUUAAGUACGUUUUGAUCGGAGGUGGGAUCGGCCUGUUGUUAGUUGCUGUAUUCAUUAUAACAAAGAUCUGCAUUAUUAGGAAGCAAGUGAGUCAAAACAAUGCAGAUGUCAACAUGAGAAGAUUUUCAGAGCCUCAGUUGCACUCUUUGAGCCAUCUCAGCCAAUCAGAACGCUCCGAUGCAGCGGUGUCCAGAGGCGUGUGAUGACAGAGGUCCGGCACAGUGACGAGCCCGAUGCUGUGAACCCUGCAAAAAGUGAAACAUCAACCUGGUGGCCUUUUUUUGUUCUUUUGUUUUUUUUGCUUUUCAGUGUUGGAAUUGUUGCAGAAUUUCAACAUUGAGUUUUACCUCUUUUACUUUCUCUGUAACAUUUGUUAUAAUUGUGUUCAUAAAAAAAUAUCUAAAGAAGAUUUGCUUUGUGCUUUUGUUGUGUUUUAUUUGUCUGUGGAAAGUUGGUGUGCUUUAAAGGUCUUAUAAAUAGGUUCAGAUCAUUUAUAGGCUCCACUGACACACAAUCUGCACAAAAAUUAUGUAACACCACUCACCAGGAAAGACGCAGCUGGCAGUUUUUCCACAAGGGGGCGAUGUUUGCCAGCAACCACUGUAGAGCCUUUCAGUACUGCACUCGAGUGGCUGGGUAAUAACAAAUAAUAAAAAGUAAUGAAAUUAUAAUGAUGAAAUGCUGUUUCUGAGCUUUCACUUGAGUUCUGGCAUUCUAGUUGCUUGAAUUUAAUCACACUACAUCGCCAAGAUUUGCCCAAUUCAGGGUUGCAAAGGAGGGAAGAGACUAUCCCAGCUGACACUGGGCAAGAGGUGUGCUACAGCGUGGAAAGGAUGUCAGCCUGUCACAGAGUUAACAUAGAAAGACAAUUACAUCUAAAGCCAAUUUGUAGGUAACAGUUAACCUAACAUCCACGUCUCUGGACUGUGGGAGAAAGCCAGAGUAGUCACAGUGAACACUCACAGGCACAGGAAUAUAAAUAAAAUAAUAACAUAUGAUACAUUUGUUUUUGAUCUGCAGAGUAAAACUGAAUAUCUGGCAUGUAUCAUUAUUAUAACAUGUAAAUAUUAAAAUUUUAAACCGUUUAGAUUAUGUAUAAGGCGAAACGUCUUCUACUGUUGCACUCAUUGUGAGCAGGGUUAGUGCUCAGGUUGUAGAUCCAUUACUUUGGCAUUUUUCCAUGUCCAUACUAUAAGAUCCAUAUCACCCAAAUUAGAAGUCUGAGUCUUUUGCCAAGAUUGUGGGAUUGCCUUUUCCAGCUCAGAGACACAUGAAGAACUCAUUAAAAACCCUGUCUAAUAUCCUGGAAACCUUACACACAGACACGAGUAAUAACAUACAGAUGUUGUCAAUCCUGAAGUCACAAUGUUUACUACACAGUCACUGAACUACUUCUGCACUUUCACCCAGAGGAAAACUAGGAACAUCUGGAGCAUUAUGAGAAUAUUGAGCUCUCAUUUCACCUAUUUAUUCAAUACUCUGUAGAAACAUAUCAUUUUUAGACCUGCAGCCCAUGUUUGUGCUCUGUCUGUGUGCUAACUAGCAAAGAACUGGAUCAAAGGGCUGGUGAGUGAAAGGGUUUGUUUGUAGAAACAGACCCACUUUUAUCCGUUUAUCCAUUUUAGGGUCUUUGAGCCCUUUGCUUGUUUUGUUUCUAAA